GAUGAAGAUCGUAGCGAAAUGCGAUACGUAAUGUGAAUUGCAGAAUUCAGUGAAUCAUCGAAUCUUUGAACGCAUAUUGCGCUCUCUGGUAUUCCGGAGAGCAUGCUUGUUUGAGUAUCAGUAAACACCUCAACUCCCUUUUCUUUUUUGAAAUGGGAGCUGGACUUGAGUGAUCCCAACACUUUUCUCACUGGAAAGUGGCGGGUCACUUGAAAUGCAGGUGCAGCUGGACUUUUCUCUGAGCUAUAAGCAUAUCUAUUUAGUCUGCCUAAAAAACAGAUUAUUACCUUUGCUGCAGCUAACAUAAAGGAGAUGAGUUCUUGUGCUGACUGAUGCAGGAUUCACAGAGACAGCUUUGCGGCUGACUUUGUAAACUCGAUCUCAAAUCAAGUAAGACUACCCGCUGAACUUAAGCAUAUCAAUAAGCGGAGGA
RNAcentral lists this unclassified non-coding RNA (433 nucleotides) under soil metagenome. Its description in RNAcentral is "partial contains 5.8S ribosomal RNA, internal transcribed spacer 2, and large subunit ribosomal RNA". The stretch from base 1 to 120 matches the Rfam family "5.8S ribosomal RNA", at positions 35 to 154 of the family's 154-position model. The record is from RNAcentral.